This is an RNA transcript of Anguilla anguilla (European eel), 2841 nucleotides long. It is a transcript of the gene named thiamin pyrophosphokinase 2, with no coding region annotated. NCBI's taxonomy places the organism in Eukaryota, Metazoa, Chordata, Actinopteri, Anguilliformes, Anguillidae. The transcript is spliced from 9 exons. The record is from RefSeq and is a predicted model, not a curated record.
CUAACCGGAAAGCUCCAAUAAUUUGCAGCAACGGGGCUUUUUGCAGCAGCCGGCUGUCUUACUCGUAUAAGGCAGGCUAGUUGGCUAUUUUCUGUCCUAAGAGACAGCUUUGCAUGAUUUUUAAUGACGGCGCCUUUGCUUUCCUGGUCGGAGAAAGUGCUUCGGCUGCUUCGGAAAAUGGACAACUUUAAUCUCCCAGGUUCCAGUCGUGCACAGUGUCUAAAGUUUGAAGUAGAUGGGGUGCAGGUGGGGUGGAUACCUGCAACUGUGGUGCCUGUGCUGAGCAGGUUUCCCCAAGUAUUCACCCUGCCACAGCGGGGCGCUGUAGCACUGUGCCCCAGCCUGGACACCUACAGCAGCAGGUCUGAAGCUGUGCAUGAUGUCAUCAAGGCACUGAGGGAGGAGAACCAUUUUACCUGUCUGAGGGGGUGGAGAGAGGAGAAGUAUGAAGUAAGGGCAAGAUACUGUGACAGUCCAUUACUGUGUAUGGAGAGAGCAGCAACCAGCCUCUUUGGGGUGAAGCGCUACGGUGUCCAUGUGAAUGGUUAUACUCGAGGAGCGGAUGGGGCGAUAAGCAUUUGGUUGGCACGACGCUCCCCCACCAAACAGACCUACCCUGGGAAACUGGACAACCUGGCAGCUGGUGGGUUGGCCGCAGGAAGCAGUGUGAAGCAGACCCUGAUCAAAGAGUGCCAAGAGGAAGCAUGCAUCCCAGAAUGCAUUGCUGAGACUGCCCAACCAGUGGGGACAAUCAGCUACACCUAUGAGGAUGAAGAGGGCGUGUUUCCUGAGAGCCAGUUUGUGUUUGACCUGCAGCUGCCGGUCCACUUCAGGCCUCAGAUCGGCGAUGGCGAGGUGCAGGACUUCCUCCUGUAUCCCAUAGAGCAGGCGAAGGACGCGCUGGUGAGUGAGGACUUCAAACCCAACAGCGCAAUGGUGCUUCUGGACUUCCUGAUCAGAAACUCCUACAUACAGCCAGACUCUGAGCGGUAUUACCAGGAGUUUGUGGUGGGACUGCACAGACCUCUCUGACAGCAGAGGACAGCGGAAUCCGCUACGGACGAGAGGAGAACUCCAGGGCGGCGGCCAUCUUGUGUCCAAGCGGACAGCCGACUUCCCCCACGACCAUCAGCCGACUUCCCCCACGACCAGCAGCCGACUUCCCCACAACUAAGGGACUUAAAUUUUUCAGGUUCAUCAUUAAGUUCGUAUUACUGGAUCAGUCCCACUCCUUGGGAAGACCCUGCAGAAUUUCUGUGUCCGUAAAUAAGAGUGGUGGUUCUGACGACCCGUGUCGAUGUCUUGAAACUGCUUUGUGGCCACAAAGGCUGUUCAGGCCCUAACAACACGAACAGCCACGCGGGGUCAAUAAGCGUGCAUCCGUUUGCACUGUGUGAAUGUUACAUGUGUGAGAGAGGGUCAUUUAAGGCAGGGUUCAAAAACUGCAUUACUGUGGGGUUCCAGAAAAGAAAUUCUGUUUCCCUUUUCAGGAUGCUCUUCACAUUUUCAUAUUUCAUAAAUAAAACCAAACCUUGUCUGGCUGAUACAUCCUUUGAAAUGUAAAAAUUGUCAUUACGAAAUACACAGUGUGUAAGGCUAAUUGUUUUCAGCUUUUUAACUGAACAUUUCUUAACUGAGCAUUUUAAUGCUGAUGUCACAAUCAUUACAUUACAUUACAGGCAAGAGUGGCCUAAUAACCUACUCUUCUCAGGGUUGAACUGCUACUGCAUGGCAGCCUGUAGUGGGCACUGGAUGUGUGAAAUAUUUAAGGUUUAAGAGAGGGAGCGAAAGGACUAAAGGAUCGGGAACUACUGACGUACGGCACCAUUUACACGCCCAGUAAUGUACUGUAAAUAUCCUGUGAGGCAGAAUCCAGAGCUGGAGAAAAUGCACCUACGUCAUACCACUGUGAGAAUCAACUUGAACUCUGAAAUGAUACAAAACAUGAAAAACGACUGGUCAAAGGAGCAAGCAUGUCGCUAGCAGCGGCGUUACACCUGUCAGUGUAGUGGCACAGGCCUACCAUUAAAAUGGCCACAGACAAAAGUCACUUGCAAAAGAUUGCAAUACGUUUAACGUUUAUGAAACAUGUAACGUCAGUUUAAUAAAAGUCAGGCAAGUAAGCAUUAGACUCGCUUCACCACUGCAGUGGGUGGAGCCACCAUCACACCAGCAUAACCGCCACGCCUAGUGGCUUCGGACAAAAGAAAUGACAGGAGCACGGUUACCCUAAAAACAAUUUAUUUUUCUUAAAGUACGUUUAAAAGCAGACUGAGGAAAUUCCAGGAUGCGUGUGUACAAAAGGUUAUUUGCACCAAGAUUUAUUUUCUGUUGCUCAGUUUUUUUCUUCCGUUUUUUUUUUUUACAACAAUCAAAUGCAAGGUCUUAAAAAGUUAAUAGUAUAAUAUUUAGUUGUUUGCUCUUUUUCUUUUUUUUAUUACUUUUUAUACUUUUUUUCAUUUUUCUUUUGAAGGUAAAGUUGCAGACUUUGCGAUAGAGGCGAGAGACACAAGGAUGAGCCAGUAGAGUUUCACACUGAAUAAAAUAUACAAUACAGGAGCCGUAAAGGGGAAACAACCACAAUAAUAAUAAAAAAAAGACAAAAAAGGAGGGGGUAAAUGGAGUGAAAGAUGGAGGGAAUAACUGACUUGUUUAUCUGGGAAGAGUGAGAUGGCAGCUUAUCACACACUCCCCGUAACCACCCUGGCACAAAAAACCCAAGUACUUAAUCUGAAAACCCUUUUAUAGAAUCAAAUACUAAAUAAUACCACUUUCCAUCACCUGACUGCAUACCCACUGGUGUGCUGCAAGGGGAAUUCAUCCUGAUCAAAUUCAUCUCUA